UGCAAGUCGAACGGCAGCACGGGAGCAAUCCUGGUGGCGAGUGGCGAACGGGUGAGUAAUAUAUCGGAACGUGCCCAGUCGUGGGGGAUAACGCAGCGAAAGCUGUGCUAAUACCGCAUACGAUCUAUGGAUGAAAGCGGGGGAUCGCAAGACCUCGCGCGAUUGGAGCGGCCGAUAUCCGAUUAGCUAGUUGGUGGGGUAAAAGCCCACCAAGGCGACGAUCUGUAGCUGGUCUGAGAGGACGACCAGCCACACUGGAACUGAGACACGGUCCAGACUCCUACGGGAGGCAGCAGUGGGGAAUUUUGGACAAUGGGCGCAAGCCUGAUCCAGCAAUGCCGCGUGCAGGAUGAAGGCCUUCGGGUUGUAAACUGCUUUUGUACGGAACGAAACGGCUCCUUCUAAUAUAAGGGGCUAAUGACGGUACCGUAAGAAUAAGCACCGGCUAACUACGUGCCAGCAGCCGCGGUAAUACGUAGGGUGCGAGCGUUAAUCGGAAUUACUGGGCGUAAAGCGUGCGCAGGCGGUUAUAUAAGACAGAUGUGAAAUCCCCGGGCUCAACCUGGGACCUGCAUUUGUGACUGUAUAGCUAGAGUACGGUAGAGGGGGAUGGAAUUCCGCGUGUAGCAGUGAAAUGCGUAGAUAUGCGGAGGAACACCGAUGGCGAAGGCAAUCCCCUGGACCUGUACUGACGCUCAUGCACGAAAGCGUGGGGAGCAAACAGGAUUAGAUACCCUGGUAGUCCA
This 746-nucleotide ribosomal RNA is filed under the name uncultured bacterium. RNAcentral's name for it is "bacterial SSU rRNA". It matches the Rfam family "Bacterial small subunit ribosomal RNA", at positions 56 to 797 of the family's 1533-position model. The record is from RNAcentral.